UUUUCUCUCACUUUCCCUGGAAAAAAAAAGAAAAGAAAACACACACACAGAACAUACUAGUACGAGAAUUGUAUUGGAUAAAUCAGUUGGGCUUAUCUUGGGCCUGCAAUGGGGGAGCGGGAGGCCCAUAAUAUAUUGGAAUUUGGGCCGCUUGCCUUCGUCUACGGGCCCUUACCAAUAGGUAAACAGUAAGGCCCACAACCACAACGAACAACAGCAUCCAGAGUGGAAUUAUCACCACGUAACCCAUUUUCUAUUUCCUACGCCUUUUUUCCUUUGUUUCACCGAAACCAAGCAAGAAGUAACCCAG
This 310-nucleotide unclassified non-coding RNA is filed under the name Hevea brasiliensis (rubber tree). Lineage: Eukaryota; Viridiplantae; Streptophyta; Magnoliopsida; Malpighiales; Euphorbiaceae. The record is from RNAcentral.